GCCUUCGUGGUAUAGUGGUCAGCACGCUCGACGCGUAACUGAGAGGUCCGUGGUUCGAUUCCCGACGAAGGCG
RNAcentral lists this transfer RNA (73 nucleotides) under Stegodyphus mimosarum. It matches the Rfam family "tRNA". From Rfam's summary of the family: Transfer RNA (tRNA) molecules are approximately 80 nucleotides in length. Their secondary structure includes four short double-helical elements and three loops (D, anti-codon, and T loops). Lineage: Eukaryota; Metazoa; Arthropoda; Arachnida; Araneae; Eresidae. The record is from Rfam by way of RNAcentral.